UUAAGCGACUAAGCGUACACGGUGGAUGCCCUGGCAGUCAGAGGCGAUGAAGGACGUGCUAAUCUGCGAUAAGCGUCGGUAAGGUGAUAUGAACCGUUAUAACCGGCGAUUUCCGAAUGGGGAAACCCAGUGUGAUUCGUCACACUAUCAUUAACUGAAUCCAUAGGUUAAUGAGGCGAACCGGGGGAACUGAAACAUCUAAGUACCCCGAGGAAAAGAAAUCAACCGAGAUUCCCCCAGUAGCGGCGAGCGAACGGGGAGCAGCCCAGAGCCUGAAUCAGUGUGUGUGUUAGUGGAAGCGUCUGGAAAGGCGCGCGAUACAGGGUGACAGCCCCGUACACAAAAAUGCACAUACUGUGAGCUCGAUGAGUAGGGCGGGACACGUGGUAUCCUGUCUGAAUAUGGGGGGACCAUCCUCCAAGGCUAAAUACUCCUGACUGACCGAUAGUGAACCAGUACCGUGAGGGAAAGGCGAAAAGAACCCCGGCGAGGGGAGUGAAAAAGAACCUGAAACCGUGUACGUACAAGCAGUGGGAGCACAGAGCAAUCUGUGUGACUGCGUACCUUUUGUAUAAUGGGUCAGCGACUUAUAUUCUGUAGCAAGGUUAACCGAAUAGGGGAGCCGAAGGGAAACCGAGUCUUAACUGGGCGUUAAGUUGCAGGGUAUAGACCCGAAACCCGGUGAUCUAGCCAUGGGCAGGUUGAAGGUUGGGUAACACUAACUGGAGGACCGAACCGACUAAUGUUGAAAAAUUAGCGGAUGACUUGUGGCUGGGGGUGAAAGGCCAAUCAAACCGGGAGAUAGCUGGUUCUCCCCGAAAGCUAUUUAGGUAGCGCCUCGUGAAUUCAUCUCCGGGGGUAGAGCACUGUUUCGGCAAGGGGGUCAUCCCGACUUACCAACCCGAUGCAAACUACGAAUACCGGAGAAUGUUAUCACGGGAGACACACGGCGGGUGCUAACGUCCGUCGUGAAGAGGGAAACAACCCAGACCGCCAGCUAAGGUCCCAAAGUCAUGGUUAAGUGGGAAACGAUGUGGGAAGGCCCAGACAGCCAGGAUGUUGGCUUAGAAGCAGCCAUCAUUUAAAGAAAGCGUAAUAGCUCACUGGUCGAGUCGGCCUGCGCGGAAGAUGUAACGGGGCUAAACCAUGCACCGAAGCUGCGGCAGCGACGCUUAUGCGUUGUUGGGUAGGGGAGCGUUCUGUAAGCCUGUGAAGGUGUACUGUGAGGUAUGCUGGAGGUAUCAGAAGUGCGAAUGCUGACAUAAGUAACGAUAAAGCGGGUGAAAAGCCCGCUCGCCGGAAGACCAAGGGUUCCUGUCCAACGUUAAUCGGGGCAGGGUGAGUCGACCCCUAAGGCGAGGCCGAAAGGCGUAGUCGAUGGGAAACAGGUUAAUAUUCCUGUACUUGGUGUUACUGCGAAGGGGGGACGGAGAAGGCUAUGUUGGCCGGGCGACGGUUGUCCCGGUUUAAGCGUGUAGGCUGGUUUUCCAGGCAAAUCCGGAAAAUCAAGGCUGAGGCGUGAUGACGAGGCACUACGGUGCUGAAGCAACAAAUGCCCUGCUUCCAGGAAAAGCCUCUAAGCAUCAGGUAACAUCAAAUCGUACCCCAAACCGACACAGGUGGUCAGGUAGAGAAUACCAAGGCGCUUGAGAGAACUCGGGUGAAGGAACUAGGCAAAAUGGUGCCGUAACUUCGGGAGAAGGCACGCUGAUAUGUAGGUGAAGUCCCUCGCGGAUGGAGCUGAAAUCAGUCGAAGAUACCAGCUGGCUGCAACUGUUUAUUAAAAACACAGCACUGUGCAAACACGAAAGUGGACGUAUACGGUGUGACGCCUGCCCGGUGCCGGAAGGUUAAUUGAUGGGGUCAGCGCAAGCGAAGCUCUUGAUCGAAGCCCCGGUAAACGGCGGCCGUAACUAUAACGGUCCUAAGGUAGCGAAAUUCCUUGUCGGGUAAGUUCCGACCUGCACGAAUGGCGUAAUGAUGGCCAGGCUGUCUCCACCCGAGACUCAGUGAAAUUGAACUCGCUGUGAAGAUGCAGUGUACCCGCGGCAAGACGGAAAGACCCCGUGAACCUUUACUAUAGCUUGACACUGAACAUUGAGCCUUGAUGUGUAGGAUAGGUGGGAGGCUUUGAAGUGUGGACGCCAGUCUGCAUGGAGCCGACCUUGAAAUACCACCCUUUAAUGUUUGAUGUUCUAACGUUGACCCGUGAUCCGGGUUGCGGACAGUGUCUGGUGGGUAGUUUGACUGGGGCGGUCUCCUCCUAAAGAGUAACGGAGGAGCACGAAGGUUGGCUAAUCCUGGUCGGACAUCAGGAGGUUAGUGCAAUGGCAUAAGCCAGCUUGACUGCGAGCGUGACGGCGCGAGCAGGUGCGAAAGCAGGUCAUAGUGAUCCGGUGGUUCUGAAUGGAAGGGCCAUCGCUCAACGGAUAAAAGGUACUCCGGGGAUAACAGGCUGAUACCGCCCAAGAGUUCAUAUCGACGGCGGUGUUUGGCACCUCGAUGUCGGCUCAUCACAUCCUGGGGCUGAAGUAGGUCCCAAGGGUAUGGCUGUUCGCCAUUUAAAGUGGUACGCGAGCUGGGUUUAGAACGUCGUGAGACAGUUCGGUCCCUAUCUGCCGUGGGCGCUGGAGAACUGAGGGGGGCUGCUCCUAGUACGAGAGGACCGGAGUGGACGCAUCACUGGUGUUCGGGUUGUCAUGCCAAUGGCACUGCCCGGUAGCUAAAUGCGGAAGAGAUAAGUGCUGAAAGCAUCUAAGCACGAAACUUGCCCCGAGAUGAGUUCUCCCUGACUCCUUGAGAGUCCUGAAGGAACGUUGAAGACGACGACGUUGAUAGGCCGGGUGUGUAAGCGCAGCGAUGCGUUGAGCUAACCGGUACUAAUGAACCGUGAGGCUUAACCUU
This 2904-nucleotide ribosomal RNA is filed under the name Escherichia coli UMEA 3176-1. Its description in RNAcentral is "bacterial LSU rRNA". It matches the Rfam family "Bacterial large subunit ribosomal RNA". Lineage: Bacteria; Pseudomonadati; Pseudomonadota; Gammaproteobacteria; Enterobacterales; Enterobacteriaceae. The record is from RNAcentral.